RNAcentral lists this long non-coding RNA (1092 nucleotides) under Oryctolagus cuniculus (rabbit). RNAcentral's name for it is "lncRNA (ENSOCUG00000033432.1)". Lineage: Eukaryota; Metazoa; Chordata; Mammalia; Lagomorpha; Leporidae. The record is from RNAcentral.
GAUUGGGGAGGGGCAGGAGAGGAGGGAUGUAAACAAAGGCAAACUCCCUUAGUUUCCAUUCCAUUGCUCCCAAACUCCUUCAAACCCUUAGGGAGCACCGGCCAGCUCGCUAGGCUUGUGCUGGGUCUGGACUCCAUUUCCCAGAGUUCCUCGGCGCCUAGUGCGUGGGUGCACGUCGGAGCGCGCCUGCGCGCUGGUGGCUCCGCGUCCCGGGGCAGCGGAAGUUCGCGCAGUGUUCAGAGCCGGGGCUAUUGCUCCACACGUGCUUGCGGCGGUCUUUUGCUGUACACCUUCCAUUCCAGGCAGUUUGCGAGCGCAACACCCGGCCGGCCCCGCUGCUUCUCCUUCCGCUGCUGUCGCUGGGUCCGAGGCCACCCCCACGCGCCGGGGACUUUGCCUGCCCCUCACGCUCCGCCUUGCUGCACCUGCGUGUCCUGGAGCGCGCCGCCGGGCUCCCCGCCAAUUCCCCCGGCAAGUGCGGAGACCAGGGAGGGGCGUGGACGCGGGUGCGAGGGCGGCUGGCGGCUCGGGGACCCGGCUCUGGGUGCGCUGCCCAGCGAGCCGGCGCCCCGAUCCGGGCUGUGGCGGCUCCGACCGCAGCCUUCCAGCCUCCCGGCGCCCCGCGGGCCCCGUGCGCUGCUUCCCUCCAACUUUCCGUCAUGCAUUUUGUUCUGGGGGAGCCUGGCAGGCGAGAGGACGGCGGAGGAAGGCAGCGGGACUCCCCUCGUCCAUAUUUUCAUCGAGCCCCGGUCCCACUUUGGCUUCGUGGAGAGAAUGCCCUCUGGCCGGGCUUCCUGGUCAACCCUGCGGCGGUUCCCGCGGCAGAGCGGGGCUGGUGGCCCCCAGCAAGGAGCCCGGGGCGGCGGGCAGAUGGCUCAGCCUCGCUGCCCCCACUCCGCACGCGCACAGCCCGCAAGUGUGUUUCCCACGGCAGUGCUCGUGUCCUGCUACUGUGUGAAGAGCUGCCUAGAGACAGCCGUCGGCCCACCUGCUGAAGAAGCGUAUUGCAUGGAUGUUCAUCUGACUGGGAGACGGCCGAGAAUAGGAUGUGUCAACUUGGCAGGUCAUUCCCUGUGCUCCUGGACUUGCUAG